Long non-coding RNA from Sinocyclocheilus grahami, 683 nucleotides. RefSeq lists it as uncharacterized. Lineage: Eukaryota; Metazoa; Chordata; Actinopteri; Cypriniformes; Cyprinidae. The transcript is spliced from 3 exons. The record is from RefSeq and is a predicted model, not a curated record.
AGUAGUGUAUGUUUGGGCAUAUACGUAUGCAUUUCUUUAACACUUUCAUCUCGUUCCUUGUGUUGUAGGCGCUGGUGGUGGCUGCAGAGAACCUGCAGAAGGAGCACCAGUGGAAGGAUGAUCUUGAUGUGGAUGAGACUAUCUACUACAAUGCCAAGGACAAGUUUGACAUUAAUGACACGGAAACACACCAGAACCGUGUCAAAGUAGAAUUCAAAGAGGAUCCAGUUUUCAAACGCCCUGUUUCAUACAACACAACAGCAGUGCACAUUCCUACUGAUAUCUACGAGGGCUGUGAGUACACACACACACACACACACAUCUUUGCAUGUGUUCUUUUUUUACGACUUUGCAUGGUAGCUAAAAUAUCAAUUUAUAAAAUCAAUAUUUCAGUGACAGCUCGGCUUUAUUGCUGCGUGUCAGGUGUGGACAGCCAGAGUCUUGUGGAAAAACUGCAGACUAAAUUUAGAGAGCAGCCCAGCUCAAGCACAGCACGCCUGGCCCCUGAGUGACCCCACAACCCCCCAAUAUCCUCCAGCAAGAGAAUAGCGCUCUCUCUCUGUCUCUUGAUUUAAAAGGUUAUUAGUCAUGAGUGUUUUGAGGUUACUACCAGUGGUGAGAAAGUUACUGUAGAUUAUGAGUAGCCUGUAGCUUGAGUAGAUCCAAGAUGUUUGUUUCUUCAU